This 460-nucleotide ribosomal RNA is filed under the name uncultured bacterium. Its description in RNAcentral is "partial 16S ribosomal RNA". It matches the Rfam family "Bacterial small subunit ribosomal RNA", at positions 338 to 795 of the family's 1533-position model. The record is from RNAcentral.
CCUACGGGCGGCAGCAGUGAGGAAUAUUGGUCAAUGGACGAGAGUCUGAACCAGCCAAGUAGCGUGAAGGAUGACUGCCCUAUGGGUUGUAAACUUCUUUUAUAUGGGAAUAAAAUGUUCCACGUGUGGGUUUUUGUAUGUACCAUAUGAAUAAGGAUCGGCUAACUCCGUGCCAGCAGCCGCGGUAAUACGGAGGAUCCGAGCGUUAUCCGGAUUUAUUGGGUUUAAAGGGAGCGUAGAUGGAUUGUUAAGUCAGUUGUGAAAGUUUGCGGCUCAACCGUAAAAUUGCAGUUGAGACUGGCAGUCUUGAGUACAGUAGAGGUGGGCGGAAUUCGUGGUGUAGCGGUGAAAUGCUUAGAUAUCACGAAGAACUCCGAUUGCGAAGGCAGCUCACUGGACUGCAACUGACACUGAGGCUCGAAAGUGUGGGUAUCAAACAGGAUUAGAUACCCGAGUAGUC